CGGGGUGUAGCUCAGCCUGGUUAGAGCGCCACGUUUGGGACGUGGAAGUCGUUGGUUCGAAUCCAAUCACCCCGACCA
RNAcentral lists this transfer RNA (78 nucleotides) under Planctomycetota bacterium. RNAcentral's name for it is "tRNA-Pro". It matches the Rfam family "tRNA". Rfam says of the family: Transfer RNA (tRNA) molecules are approximately 80 nucleotides in length. Their secondary structure includes four short double-helical elements and three loops (D, anti-codon, and T loops). Lineage: Bacteria; Pseudomonadati; Planctomycetota. The record is from RNAcentral.